CUGAAGGCAUUACUUGGCCUUACUUGGACAUUUUGAUGGCUCACUGAUGUGGAAUGGCCCAUACCUGAUGUUGCACCAGAAUGCCAACAUGCUCCCAUUGUUAGCGCUGAAGGCACCAAGGUAUUUUCAAGAUUUUCAGGAAUAUCAAAACCAACAGAUUCUCAACUGCACACUUUCAUGACAACCUGCCCUACACUCCCAGAGGUACACCUAAAUGUCUCCAGUCAGUUCUCUCAACCUGACCAGAGUAAUGAGUCUUACAGGCAGAUCAACCUGUGACAAGUUCAUCUCCACUUAAUGGAAACAAUGACCUCAUGGUGGGAGAUCGGGUUGUCCCCUCAGCUGGAGCACACAGCUCAUGAUGGGAACCAGAUUGCAAUAACUACUUCUUCAGGACCUCAAAGAACCAGUCCUGAGAUAAUGUUCAACUGGAUCAUAGUUUGAUCAAGACUGCUUAAUUAUGCAUACCUCUUGUCCUCUACCCCAUUUCUUCCUUUAUUUAAAUCUAGUGCUCAUGUCAGUAUCUCUCAAGACUGAGACUGAUUGUCUUCCCAAUAUAAACUAUAUUGAAUAAAUUCCUUUUCUAUUUCA
This is a non-coding RNA of Ictidomys tridecemlineatus (thirteen-lined ground squirrel), 591 nucleotides long. Lineage: Eukaryota; Metazoa; Chordata; Mammalia; Rodentia; Sciuridae. The record is from RefSeq and is a predicted model, not a curated record.